This 79-nucleotide transfer RNA is filed under the name Deltaproteobacteria bacterium. RNAcentral's name for it is "tRNA-Asp". It matches the Rfam family "tRNA". Rfam says of the family: Transfer RNA (tRNA) molecules are approximately 80 nucleotides in length. Their secondary structure includes four short double-helical elements and three loops (D, anti-codon, and T loops). Further hydrogen bonds mediate the characteristic L-shaped molecular structure. tRNAs have two regions of fundamental functional importance: the anti-codon, which is responsible for specific mRNA codon recognition, and the 3' end, to which the tRNAs corresponding amino acid is attached (by aminoacyl-tRNA synthetases). tRNAs cope with the degeneracy of the genetic code in two manners: having more than one tRNA (with a specific anti-codon) for a particular amino acid; and 'wobble' base-pairing, i.e. permitting non-standard base-pairing at the 3rd anti-codon position. The record is from RNAcentral. Lineage: Bacteria; Pseudomonadati; Myxococcota; Myxococcia.
GGGGACGUAGUGCAGAUUGGUCUAACACGCCUGCCUGUCACGCAGGAGAACGCGGGUUCAAAUCCCGUCGUCCCCGCCA